This 543-nucleotide ribosomal RNA is filed under the name uncultured bacterium. Its description in RNAcentral is "partial 16S ribosomal RNA". It matches the Rfam family "Bacterial small subunit ribosomal RNA", at positions 355 to 914 of the family's 1533-position model. The record is from RNAcentral.
UGGGGAAUAUUGCACAAUGGGCGAAAGCCUGAUGCAGCAACGCCGCGUGAGUGAUGAAGGCCUUCGGGUUGUAAAGCUCUGUCUUUUGGGACGAUAAUGACGGUACCAAAGGAGGAAGCCACGGCUAACUACGUGCCAGCAGCAGCGGUAAUACGUAGGUGGCAAGCGUUGUCCGGAUUUACUGGGCGUAAAGGAUGCGUAGGCGGAUUUUUAAGUGAGAUGUGAAAUACCCGGGCUUAACUUGGGUGCUGCAUUUCAAACUGGGAAUCUAGAGUGCGGGAGAGGAGAAUGGAAUUCCUAGUGUAGCGGUGAAAUGCGUAGAGAUUAGGAAGAACACCAGUGGCGAAGGCGAUUCUCUGGACCGUAACUGACGCUGAGGCAUGAAAGCGUGGGUAGCAAACAGGAUUAGAUACCCUGGUAGUCCACGCCGUAAACGAUGAGUACUAGGUGUAGGAGGUAUCGACCCCUUCUGUGCCGCAGUUAACACAAUAAGUACUCCGCCUGGGAAGUACGAUCGCAAGAUUAAAACUCAAAUGAAUUGAC